Molecule: transfer RNA, 71 nt
Filed under: Cordylochernes scorpioides
Lineage: Eukaryota; Metazoa; Arthropoda; Arachnida; Pseudoscorpiones; Chernetidae
Description: tRNA-Gly
Source: RNAcentral
UGCAUCGGCCAGGAUUCGAACCCGGGCUGCCCGCGUGGUAGGCGAGCAUACUACCACUGAACCACCGAUGC